RNAcentral lists this ribosomal RNA (253 nucleotides) under uncultured bacterium. RNAcentral's name for it is "partial 16S ribosomal RNA". It matches the Rfam family "Bacterial small subunit ribosomal RNA", at positions 524 to 776 of the family's 1533-position model. The record is from RNAcentral.
UACGGGGGGGGCGAGCGUUGUUCGGAAUUACUGGGCGUAAAGGGUUUGUAGGUGGUCUGCUAAGUCAGACGUGAAAUCCCUCAGCUUAACUGGGGAACUGCGUCUGAUACUGGCGGACUUGAGGACAGGAGAGGAACGCGGAAUUCCAGGUGUAGCGGUGAAAUGCGUAGAUAUCUGGAGGAACACCGGUGGCGAAGGCGGCAUCCUGGACCGGUAUUGACGCUGAGGCGCGAAAGCUAGGGGAGCAAACGGG